This 493-nucleotide ribosomal RNA is filed under the name uncultured bacterium. Its description in RNAcentral is "bacterial SSU rRNA". It matches the Rfam family "Bacterial small subunit ribosomal RNA", at positions 903 to 1397 of the family's 1533-position model. The record is from RNAcentral.
AAAGGAAUAGACGGGGGCCCGCACAAGCGGUGGAGCAUGUGGUUUAAUUCGACGCAACGCGAAGAACCUUACCCAGGCUUGAACUGCGAGUGACCACUUCCGAAAGGAAGCUUCCGCAAGGACACUCGUAGAGGUGCUGCAUGGCUGUCGUCAGCUCGUGUCGUGAGAUGUUGGGUUAAGUCCCGCAACGAGCGCAACCCUUGUCUUCUGUUGCCAUCAGGUUAUGCUGGGCACUCUGAAGAGACUGCCGGUGAUAAACCGGAGGAAGGUGGGGAUGACGUCAAGUCAGCAUGGCCUUUAUGUCUGGGGCUACACACGUGCUACAAUGGCAGAUACAAACCGUCGCGAUACCGCGAGGUGGAGCUAAUCGGAGAAAGUCUGUCUCAGUUCGGAUAGCAGGCUGCAACUCGCCUGCUUGAAGUUGGAAUCGCUAGUAAUCGCGGAUCAGCACGCCGCGGUGAAUACGUUCCCGGGCCUUGUACACACCGCCCGU